AAUGUUUGGCGUCGUUAACUUUUUAGCACAUGUUUGACCGUUCGUCUUAUUCAAAAACUUUUAAGUAAUUAUUAUUUUUUUCAUAUCAUUUGAUUCAUUAUUAAAUAUAUUUUUAUGUAGGCAUAUAAUUUUACAUAUUUCAUAAAAGGUUUUGAAUAAGACGAACGGUCAAACAUGUGCUAAAAAAUCAACAGCGUUAAA
Molecule: microRNA precursor, 201 nt
Filed under: Oryza barthii
Lineage: Eukaryota; Viridiplantae; Streptophyta; Magnoliopsida; Poales; Poaceae
Description: MIR812 microRNA precursor family
Rfam family: MIR812 microRNA precursor family
Source: Rfam by way of RNAcentral